CAGGGAGCUUUGGUUUAGCUAUGGCUCUUUCUGCACACACCUGUGCUGCUGCACGUAGGCCUGGAAAUUAUUUGCCUAAAUUUGACAGAAUUGGCUGUGUUUGUGUUAGGAAAGACCCUUCAGAGGAGCUGAUGCUGAGUACCCCCUUUAGCCUCAUACUAUGAUAGAUUUUAUUGCAAACCAAACUGAACCUGUUGCUUUGGAGUGAGUUUUUCCACUUUAUAAGCAGCCUGGAGGUGUUCAAAGAAGCAGCCCUUGGUUUGUAACCCUACACCCUCUUUGGGAGGGGGAUUUGUACUGGUUUUGGUGAACACCUGGGGAACAGCUUCUGUUGUAGCUUCCUCCAGAGGAGAUUUAUUUCACAUGUGUCAACACUGCUGCAGACCAAAAUGAUGGGAAUCCACUUCCCAUCCAUAUAAACCCAACCACCAUAAGUUAGACACAACUGGGAGUUUUUCCACAUGUGCCCUGCCCAUACUAACCAGAACAAAUCCACCUGCUCCCACCUUCCCUGUCCUUUGGCUGCCAAUGGGAAAAAGCAGAUUAAGAAAGCUUUGGCACCUCGAGUUGUACUGGAGGUGACAUGCAGGUGUCAUCUGAAGAGGUGGACACUGAAGAAGGAAUGAACAGUACUCCCUUUCUGGCAAGGCAGGCACAAUUUUUACUUCAGGAAUCUUAAUGCAAAUUGAAUGUCAGCAAUGGAUGCAACCUAAUGGGAUAUUCUCCUGAGCUUCCCAGAUCCACAGAUGUUUCCAUCUCCUGAUGUCACCAAAGGUUUUCUAAGAAGGAAAGGACACAGGUGAAAAAUUCUCAGAGCUACUGAAGUGGUUUCUUGCUAAAAAUGCUUUUAAAUUUAAUAAAAAACCUGGGUAUUAGGACUCUAAUGAGGGAAACUUCAUGGAAACUGAGAUGAGCUGCAAGUUGGUCACCAGCAGGUAAGCUGCAGAACUUCUCUCAGAAAUAGAAUGUGUACUCAUAAAAACAAGCACUAAUGGACUGUUGGGUGAGUGCAAUAGAUUAGAUGAGGAUGGACAACAGAAAAUAACUUGGUGAAGUUGAUGGGUGGAAGGAUUCCUACUGUUUCCCAUAUAAAUACUACAGAAAUUUUCUGUCCCAGCAAUUAUUAAAAUUAUACAUUAAAUCAAGAAAAAUGAAACCAGAAUACUGUUAAUAUCAGCAAUAUAUGCACAGCAAGAGAAGAUGUUGCCUUCAUCAGAAAGGAGCCUUUUGCUAUCAUCUUCUUAACUCCAGAUUUCCCAGAAGGACAAGUUGGACCUUCACAGGAGGAGAUCCUGGGCAGAGAUGACUGCAGCAGGCUUUAAAGGAAAUGGUCAGGGUGGCAAAUACUUGGCUGGACAGUGAUUUCUGCACCACAUCACCCUGGUGCCUUCUCUGUCUUUCCCAACACACCUCAGGAAGGGUAUGAGGGAGAAGAAACAUCUGCAUCAUGGGAAUCUGUGUCCCUGCCAGGGCUGUGACUUGGGACAGUGGUUCCCAUGCUGAAGGAGCAACGUGAGGAUGCCUUUGUAGGGACAGCUUUCAGCAAAUUGUUGCUGGUCCUGGCUGUGCCCUGAGGCACUUUGAAACCUGAAGUCAGAAGUGCAGAGGUGCCACAAAGACAACCUAUCCCCCUCCUGUCACCUUCCAUCCAAUACAGACUGUUUUUCCAAAAUAUAUCACUUGGAGGAAAAAAGCAAUUAACUUAAAAAGUCCUUAUGUAUGUAUCCAGAGAUGGACUAACUUCUGCACUAGAAUUUUUUUUUUGCAAUAGAAUUUCUGCCUUAGGAACUGGGCAAUAAUCUAAAUUGGUCCAACAUACAGCAGCAAAAUAAGGAGAGGAAAAAUGUACAUCUUUUUCCUCAGCAAAGACUCCAAGAACUCCAAGACACCGAUAACAUUUAACCUUCUCUCUUCUUCUGUAAAUAUCUGUCCCCUGAGGACCCUGACAAUAACUGAAACCCAAUUGUUCAGUCCAGCAGAGCUCUAGAGACAUCCUGCGGUUCUAGAAUUUUAACUGUGAAACAGGAUGGCAAUGUCUCAUUAUAAAAAUUCCCUGUGAUACCAUUCCUAAAUCAAGUUAGUAUGCAAGAAGAGUCUUGGAGCAGAAGAGAGGCUUUCCUGUUUUUCAUCCCCUCUGAUAUUGUCUGUGUGGGAGGCAGCUGUUGGAAGCCUGCAGGAACCUGAGAUUUUGACUGAAAGCCAUAAAAUUGUAGAAAUGCAUUCAAAAGUUUUGUACAGUUUCUAUUGGAAUCUGGGUUGCAAGUUUAUGGUGAAAACUGAAAGCUUCAUCUGCCUAUUAUCUUUUAUGAUAUGAUUUUUUUCCUGUGAAUAUUUUGGAACAUCUAAUUUGAAAUAUUAAAAUAUAUCUGUAAGAAAGAGGUGUAAAUACUUUUCUGGAAUCAACUCCCAUGCAAGAAAUUAAAUACAGAAAAGAAUUCUCUUCAACAUCUAUGCCUGCAUAUGUCUGUUUUCAUCCAGGGCUGCUGUUCAUUGCUAUUCAGAGGUGCUUUACACCUGUUUUAUCAUAUUGUGUUAAUUAAGAUGAUGUUUUCAUUAGUUUCAGUUCACAUAUUGUUGGAAUCUAGAUUUUUGAAGAGAGAUUUUAGCAGAUAAUGGAACGUGGGCAGCACAGUGGAGGCCACAGGGAGCUCAUUACCCUUUCCUCAACUCAUUGUGGUUUCAUCAGUCAUUAAUUCCACUCGAAGU
Passer domesticus (house sparrow) is the source of this 2706-nucleotide long non-coding RNA. RefSeq lists it as uncharacterized. Lineage: Eukaryota; Metazoa; Chordata; Aves; Passeriformes; Passeridae. The transcript is spliced from 3 exons. The record is from RefSeq and is a predicted model, not a curated record.